GUCUCUAAUGAUGUGUACUUUUUCAAACUUUCGUUCUUCUGAGAUAAUUACCUUGCGGAAAUUAGUGAUCUGAACUGAAGAGAC
Molecule: small nucleolar RNA, 84 nt
Organism: Mercurialis annua (annual mercury)
Lineage: Eukaryota; Viridiplantae; Streptophyta; Magnoliopsida; Malpighiales; Euphorbiaceae
Product: small nucleolar RNA Z159/U59
Exons: 1
Source: RefSeq, a predicted model, not a curated record